This 253-nucleotide ribosomal RNA is filed under the name uncultured bacterium. RNAcentral's name for it is "partial 16S ribosomal RNA". It matches the Rfam family "Bacterial small subunit ribosomal RNA", at positions 524 to 776 of the family's 1533-position model. The record is from RNAcentral.
UACGGGGGGGGCAAGCGUUGUUCGGAAUUACUGGGCGUAAAGAGCGUGUAGGCGGCCUGGAAGGUCAGCUGUGAAAACUCGAGGCUCAACCUCGAGACGUCGGUUGAAACCACCUGGCUAGAGUAUGGGAGAGGGUAGUGGAAUUCCCGGUGUAGCGGUGAAAUGCGUAGAUAUCGGGAGGAACAUCAGUGGCGAAGGCGGCUACCUGGCCCAAUACUGACACUCAGGUGCGACAGCGUGGGGAGCAAACAGG